AGUGAACGCUGGCGGUAGGCCUAACACAUGCAAGUCGAACGGCAGCACAGUAAGAGCUUGCUCUUACGGGUGGCGAGUGGCGGACGGGUGAGGAAUACAUCGGAAUCUACUUUUUCGGGGGGGAUAACGUAGGGAAACUUACGCUAAUACCGCAUACGACCUACGGGUGAAAGCAGGGGAUCUUCGGACCUUGCGCGAUUGAAUGAGCCGAUGUCGGAUUAGCUAGUUGGCGGGGUAAAGGCCCACCAUGGCGACGAUCCGUAGCUGGUCUGAGAGGAUGAUCAGCCACACUGGAACUGAGACACGGUCCAGACUCCUACGGGAGGCAGCAGUGGGGAAUAUUGGACAAUGGGCGCAAGCCUGAUCCAGCCAUACCGCGUGGGUGAAGAAGGCCUUCGGGUUGUAAAGCCCUUUUGUUGGGAAAGAAAAGCAGCAGGUUAAUACCCCGCUGUUCUGACGGUACCCAAAGAAUAAGCACCGGCUAACUUCGUG
RNAcentral lists this ribosomal RNA (492 nucleotides) under uncultured bacterium. Its description in RNAcentral is "partial 16S ribosomal RNA". It matches the Rfam family "Bacterial small subunit ribosomal RNA", at positions 29 to 507 of the family's 1533-position model. The record is from RNAcentral.